RNAcentral lists this non-coding RNA (240 nucleotides) under Gracilibacillus boraciitolerans. Its description in RNAcentral is "T-box sequence". It matches the Rfam family "T-box leader". From Rfam's summary of the family: Uncharged tRNA acts as the effector for transcription antitermination of genes in the T-box leader family. The record is from RNAcentral. Lineage: Bacteria; Bacillati; Bacillota; Bacilli; Caryophanales; Bacillaceae.
AUAAAGGCAUUGAAAGAGCUAGUAAAUAGGUGGAAAUCGUCUAAAGGGAAGAAGCAUCAUAGACUGUAAGUGCUUCUGGCGAUCACCAAUUGAAAUUUCACUCUGGAGCCGACACUGGGACCUUGCAUGAAGCAAGUAAAGGUGUACCGGUUUAUACCGUUAUCUGUUAACUUGAGUGGAUAUAGUUUUGAACUAUUUCAACAAGGGUGGUACCGCGAUACAUUUAGUCUCGUCCCUUUU